AAGAGACAGCAGUCGCCACGGGAAUACGUAGGGUGCGAGCGUUAAUCGGAAUUACUGGGCGUAGAGCGUGCGCAGGCGGUUGUGUAAGACAGGUGUGAAAUCCCCGGGCUUAACCUGGGAACUGCGCUUGUGACUGCACAGCUAGAGUAUGGCAGAGGGGGGUGGAAUUCCACGUGUAGCAGUGAAAUGCGUAGAGAUGUGGAGGAACACCGAUGGCGAAGGCAGCCCCCUGGGCCAAUACUGACGCUCAUGCACGAAAGCGUGGGGAGCAAACAGGAUUAGAGACCCCUGUAGUCCCUGUCUCUUAUAA
RNAcentral lists this ribosomal RNA (310 nucleotides) under uncultured bacterium. RNAcentral's name for it is "partial 16S ribosomal RNA". It matches the Rfam family "Bacterial small subunit ribosomal RNA", at positions 503 to 809 of the family's 1533-position model. The record is from RNAcentral.